Molecule: transfer RNA, 144 nt
Rfam family: tRNA
About the family: Transfer RNA (tRNA) molecules are approximately 80 nucleotides in length.
Source: Rfam
GCUCGUGUAGCUCAGUGGUUAGAGCUUCGUGCUUAUAGUGGCAUCCCCCUAUGGGGAGCUAACUGUACGGAUGUUUCUGGGUCUUAAAAGCGGCUCAGGUCACAAGUCACGCGACCGUCGUGGGUUCAAUCCCCACCUCGAGCA